AAUCAGAAGCGGGGAGAUGUUGCAGCUCGUCUGCUGUUUUCCGCUUCAGCAACUGGGUCGGUUCGUGUCAUGGUUCUGGAACUAUAUCUGUGUUCCACCGCCUGAGAUUUUAUAUUAUGAGAGAUCAUCAUCAUCGUCGUCUUCUUCGAUUGUUAAUAGCCAGAACUACUAUCAUCUUCAUUUGGAGUGACUAUGUUUUUCAUUUCAAGUAUUAUUUUGUAUAGGAAAAAAAAAACUACUUGGCUUGAGUUUGGAUAGAUCGGAGUAUGUUUAUCAAUCCUUGUUUAUAGAAAAACAAAGUAGUCAUGAGAUCUUGAGUAUUUGGUGGUGCAUAUAGUUUAGAUCAGUCUUUUGUUGAUAAUGUUUUUGUUAAUUCGUGAAGGGCUAUGUAAUGUUACAUACUUUUAGGCUAGAAACUAGUGUGGAUGAUCAAGUUCUCAAGUAAUGGUUCUUCUUUGUGUAAAGAUCGGUUUUUUGAAGCAGAGUGGUCUCAAGAUAAAGCGAGGUUUUGAGAAGUUUAAUGGAAUCCAGUUCAGGAUUAACGUUAUAUGGCAGCGGUGGCUUGCCACGAGUUUUGGGCCUUCUCCAGUAUGAUACAAUUGUUCUUGACUAGAUGCAGAGCGUACCUUCUCUCAAGAUUUGUGUUAUGUUUCGGUUCUACAUAUACCUUUGUUGGUUGAAUCGGUUUGGUUGUCAUGUGGUUCUUUCUUGUAGCAACAUAAUAGGAUUAGUCUCGUCUUUCCUUCAGCCAAAUGUAAGUUAAACGAAUCUAACUUGGGCCGGUAGCCAAGUCUGCGGAUAGGGUCCAUAUCUUUUCUCUUUAUGAAGUUCAUGAGGUUGUAUUGUUUUUCAAGACUCUAGAGGCUUGAGAGCUCUCUCUACUUAUAAAACCUGAAGUUUUUGGCAACAGCCUC
Brassica oleracea var. oleracea is the source of this 914-nucleotide long non-coding RNA. RefSeq lists it as uncharacterized. NCBI's taxonomy places the organism in Eukaryota, Viridiplantae, Streptophyta, Magnoliopsida, Brassicales, Brassicaceae. The transcript has 2 exons. The record is from RefSeq and is a predicted model, not a curated record.